UCGCCUGUUUAUCAAAAACAUAGCCCCUAGAAUUUAUUAGGGGUCAUGCCUGCCCAGUGGAAAUAUAUUUUCUAAACGGCCGCGGUAUCUUGACCGUGCAAAGGUAGCAUAAUCACUUGUCUCUUAAAUGGGGACCUGUAUGAAUGGCUAAACAUCCUUAAACUGUCUCCUUCUCUUUCCAUUAAAACUUCUCUUUACGUGAAGAAGCGUAAAUAAAAAAGAUAGACGAGAAGACCCUGUCGAGCUUUAGCUAAUGUUAAAUUUUCUUUAUUUCUUUCUAGAAUAAUUUAUUUAAAUUCUAACUUAAGCUUUGGUUGGGGUAACCAUGGAGAAUAAAUAUCCUCCAGUUAAAUUAAGAAGAAAACAAUUCACCUAAAACAAAAGUUCAAGAACCAGUACUCCUGGUAAACGGAAAUAGUUACCGCAGGGAUAACAGCGUUAUCUUCUCUAAGAGCCCAUAUUGACGAGAAGGAUUGCGACCUCGAUGUUGGAUUGGGGUAACCAAAAGGUGCAGAAGCUUUUUAAGGUUGGACUGUUCGUCCAUUAAAUCCCUACGUGAUCUGAGUUCAGACCRGA
RNAcentral lists this ribosomal RNA (576 nucleotides) under Synallactes sp. AKM-2016. RNAcentral's name for it is "partial 16S ribosomal RNA". It matches the Rfam family "Bacterial large subunit ribosomal RNA", at positions 1796 to 2620 of the family's 2925-position model. The record is from RNAcentral. Lineage: Eukaryota; Metazoa; Echinodermata; Holothuroidea; Aspidochirotida; Synallactidae.